Molecule: non-coding RNA, 211 nt
Organism: Pelobates cultripes (western spadefoot toad)
Lineage: Eukaryota; Metazoa; Chordata; Amphibia; Anura; Pelobatidae
Source: the annotation of a GenBank genome assembly
UAUAAUGGAUCUAUUUACCUCCCUGCUUGCAUUUCAUUCCCUUGUACGCACGAACCCGCCGCCAUUUCGGCAGCCGAACACGUGGCAGCCACCAUCUGAAAUCCGCGAACAGCGGUGUUUGGCCGUCGAGUGUCUGGAACUGAAAACGGACACUCGACUAGCCGAACACCGCUAAGACCUCCAGGGCUUCAGAAGGCAUGGAUGGAAACCC